This 265-nucleotide RNase P RNA is filed under the name Methanobacteriota archaeon. Its description in RNAcentral is "Euryarchaeota archaeon RNase P RNA component". It matches the Rfam family "Archaeal RNase P". Rfam says of the family: Ribonuclease P (RNase P) is a ubiquitous endoribonuclease, found in archaea, bacteria and eukarya as well as chloroplasts and mitochondria. Its best characterised activity is the generation of mature 5'-ends of tRNAs by cleaving the 5'-leader elements of precursor-tRNAs. Cellular RNase Ps are ribonucleoproteins. Lineage: Archaea; Methanobacteriati; Methanobacteriota. The record is from RNAcentral.
AGGAGCCCGUGGACAGCUGACGGUGGCCCGACGGGGCCGCUGAGGAAAGUCCUCGCUCCGACACGCACGCGGCCCGGCGCAAGCCGGGUGGCCGAGAGGUCAGGCAACCGCACCGAAACGACACCGCCCCGGCAGAGGAUGAUCGGCUUGUGGCCGUGACGGUCCCGGCGGAUCGGGUGGAACGGCGAGUCCCCGCGGGAGCAAGUCCCUUGCGGACGCGUAGUCCAAUGCUGUCAGAACAGAACGAGGCUUACGGCGGGCACCU